AUUGAACGCUGGCGGCAUGCCUUACACAUGCAAGUCGAACGGCAGCACGGGAGCAAUCCUGGUGGCGAGUGGCGAACGGGUGAGUAAUAUAUCGGAACGUGCCCAGUCGUGGGGAUAACGUAGCGAAAGCUACGCUAAUACCGCAUACGAUCUAUGGAUGAAAGCGGGGGAUCGCAAGACCUCGCGCGAUUGGAGCGGCCGAUAUCAGAUUAGGUAGUUGGUGAGGUAAAGGCUCACCAAGCCGACGAUCUGUAGCUGGUCCGAGAGGACGACCAGCCACACUGGACUGAGACACGGCCCAGACUCCUACGGGAGGCAGCAGUGGGGAAUUUUGGACAAUGGGCGCAAGCCUGAUCCAGCAAUGCCGCGUGCAGGAUGAAGGCC
This 384-nucleotide ribosomal RNA is filed under the name uncultured bacterium. Its description in RNAcentral is "bacterial SSU rRNA". It matches the Rfam family "Bacterial small subunit ribosomal RNA", at positions 30 to 416 of the family's 1533-position model. The record is from RNAcentral.